CAAAAACACAGCUCUCUGCGAAGCCGUAAGGCGAAGUAUAGGGGGUGACACCUGCCCGGUGCUGGAAGGUUAAGGAGAGGGGUUAGCGUAAGCGAAGCUCUGAACUGAAGCCCCAGUAAACGGCGGCCGUAACUAUAACGGUCCUAAGGUAGCGAAAUUCCUUGUCGGGUAAGUUCCGACCCGCACGAAAGGUGUAACGAUUUGGGCACUGUCUCAACCAGAGACUCGGUGAAAUUAUAGUACCUGUGAAGAUGCAGGUUACCCGCGACAGGACGGAAAGACCCCGUGGAGCUUUACUGUAGCCUGAUAUUGAAUUUUGGUACAGUUUGUACAGGAUAGGCGGGAGCCUUUGAAACCGGAGCGCUAGCUUCGGUGGAGGCGCUGGUGGGAUACCGCCCUGACUGUAUUGAAAUUCUAACCUACGGGUCUUAUCGACCCGGGAGACAGUGUCAGGUGGGCAGUUUGACUGGGGCGGUCGCCUCCUAAAGUGUAACGGAGGCGCCCAAAGGUUCCCUCAGAAUGGUUGGAAAUCAUUCGUAGAGUGCAAAGGCAUAAGGGAGCUUGACUGCGAGACCUACAAGUCGAGCAGGGACGAAAGUCGGGCUUAGUGAUCCGGUGGUUCCGCAUGGAAGGGCCAUCGCUCAACGGAUAAAAGCUACCCCGGGGAUAACAGGCUUAUCUCCCCCAAGAGUCCACAUCGACGGGGAGGUUUGGCACCUCGAUGUCGGCUCAUCGCAUCCUGGGGCUGUAGUCGGUCCCAAGGGUUGGGCUGUUCGCCCAUUAAAGCGGUACGCGAGCUGGGUUCAGAACGUCGUGAGACAGUUCGGUCCCUAUCCGUCGUGGGCGUAGGAAAUUUGAGAGGAGCUGUCCUUAGUACGAGAGGACCGGGAUGGACGCACCGCUGGUGUACCAGUUGUUCUGCCAAGGGCAUAGCUGGGUAGCUAUGUGCGGAAGGGAUAAGUGCUGAAAGCAUCUAAGCAUGAAGCCCCCCUCAAGAUGAGAUUUCCCAUAGCGUAAGCUAGUAAGAUCCCUGAAAGAUGAUCAGGUUGAUAGGUUCGAGGUGGAAGCAUGGUGACAUGUGGAGCUGACGAAUACUAAUAGAUCGAGGACUUAACCAU
This 1118-nucleotide ribosomal RNA is filed under the name Bacillus cereus IS845/00. RNAcentral's name for it is "bacterial LSU rRNA". It matches the Rfam family "Bacterial large subunit ribosomal RNA", at positions 1808 to 2925 of the family's 2925-position model. Lineage: Bacteria; Bacillati; Bacillota; Bacilli; Caryophanales; Bacillaceae. The record is from RNAcentral.